Non-coding RNA from Oryza sativa Japonica Group (Japanese rice), 734 nucleotides. The record is from RefSeq and is a predicted model, not a curated record. Lineage: Eukaryota; Viridiplantae; Streptophyta; Magnoliopsida; Poales; Poaceae.
CUUUUCUCCUUCACAAAGAUUGGGUUUUUCUUCUGGGAAAAGGCUGGGGUUGUGCUGGUGUGUGGAUUUUGGUGGCGUUGGUGCAGCGGCGCCAUCAGUUUCGCGUGUGCUCGUCGCUGUCCACCAGCUUCGUCCUGCUACGUGCCUAACUGGUCCUAAAAACUUGUGGAGUACAAGAACUACGGAUAUGACGAGAACGGUGCAUAGCCAGCUUUGAUUUCUUCUCAAGGAUUGGCAGUUUCUAAUAAGGUGGUAAUUAACCUAGCAAAAUUCUUUUAAGGUCUAUUCGGAUUUGAGGAAUUUCACGGGAAUUUUGGAGGAACUCAAGUGUACCCUAUGAAAAUCAUAUAAAACUCUCGCGUUUUGAAGGAACCUCUACUGAAUAGAAGAAUGCAUGAUGCUUUGGAGUUUGUUGGUACAAACCAGUAUCCUGCUUGGGCCAGCUCCUUCACCUGAUUAUUAUGAUUACUCACUAUACUUAACCUGAUCAAAUAAUAAUCUAUUUCUAACCGGCCUAAUUAAUCGGCUUAAUAAACCAUUGGUACUGUCUAAAGUUUGGCGUGUCAAAUUGACCGUAGCUUUACGGCAUUGCGCGUAAUGACAGCUAUUAGUGCUGGCAAGGACAGAUCCAAGUGAAAAACAAAAAAAAAAAGAAAUAAAAGAAAAGAAAAGAAAAUUUACUGCAAUGUGCAGAGGAGCAGCAGGUUCAUUGAAUCUGGAUUGGUACUCACCGU